This is a long non-coding RNA of Scatophagus argus, 1098 nucleotides long. RefSeq lists it as uncharacterized. Lineage: Eukaryota; Metazoa; Chordata; Actinopteri; Scatophagidae. The transcript has 3 exons. The record is from RefSeq and is a predicted model, not a curated record.
UUGCAUUAUUGAAAGAAAAACUAUCAAGCAGAAGUGACUUGGUGCUUGAUGAGAAUGGAGAUUUUAGUGGUGGUGUACCUUUGUUUGCAGGUGUAGCUGUGCCCGUUACUAACCCAGACGGAGCUCGCACCAUUCCUGGCUGGCUGACGCCUACUGGCCCUUCUCGACUGAUAAUGUCAGUUUCUCUGAUGCUUUUGGCCUAAAGGCAAAAGGCUCGCUGCAUUCAACAGAUCAAACCACAGAUAAAUGAUAUCAUAAAACUCUCGUCUCUCACCCUCACAUUUGAGCCCCUGCUUGGCGAGCCCCCACAGCAGAGUCCCACAGUGUUCACAGAAAGUGGGGCUUUUGUAGUUGUAGACUUUGAACCUGUGGGGCAUGUCGAUCUUGAAGCGCUCUUUGUGGAUCUGCAGCACAUGCAUCAUAUUGUACAGAUCAUCAUGGAGGCCCCAGUACAGGUUAAGCUUUACAGCAAACAAAGCCAAGAGCAGUAGAAGCACUUCCUUUAUCCAGACAGUGGGUGGCAGGUCUGCCCUUCUACACUGAGUACUACAAUGUAAGGUUUUGCAUUCUCUUUUGGUUUCAUGCGUGUGAACUCAGCACACAUGUGGAGGAAGUGAAACAAAAGCAAGAAGAUGAAAGCAGCAAAAGAAACAAGAAUGUUUGUUGUAAUGGUACCUCUGCAUGAGGUGACUACUUGAUUAGUAAGCACCAUAAACCACAAGUUUACAAAUCUCUUACACAUGCUACAUCAGCAAUCUCCGGAUUUAACUCAGGCUGCUUGGAGGAAAAGACUCGCUGUCGCAGAGCAUUUAUGUGAAAGAAACGAUGACAUACUCACCAUUGUUUCCUUGCUGUUAAUGGCUGAGCCGGUGCAUUUGGCGAUUACUUUGUCUAUGCACUUUUUGUGAAUAGCAGCAUUGCACUCUAAAAGACACAAAGAUGACAGGGUUAAGACAAAGAGUGGAAGGUGGAAUCGUUCAAACUUCGUAACGUCAGUGGAAAAUAACACUCACGUCUGCAUUGGUAGCCCUGCUUGUUAAGACCCCUGUGAUGGAUAAAAAGAGGUGAAAUGACUAAUACGAUGAUGAAGAAAAGGAU